UCAAUAUGCGUUAAACUUGAACCAAGCGGGCGACAUUCGGAGGCACGUCUGUCUCGACUUUCUAGAACUCUCUCUCUCUCCCAACUCAAUCCGCCGUUGAUCCCAAUUGGUUUAGAUCGCAUCUUCAGCCCUCCCGUUCCCGAGGAGAGAUCUUCCACCUGAAAGCAAUGUGAUCGUCGAUCGUCUUCUUUUCAAAGCAUCAGAGCAACGAGAUUGCAUUAUUUGUGCUGCGUUUGUCGUGUUCGUCCGUUGGAUUAUCACUCUCUUGGAUGUGAAAUGGACGGUAUUCAUGCGAGCGAUGGACGGAUGCAUAUGAGUCAUGCACAGCAUUCGAUGCACACACAAUCUGUGCAAGAACAGGAACAUCAUGACUUGCAUUACAUGAGUAAUGGGAAUGGAAUGGCCGAUGAGCAUGAAAAUGAAGGUCACGGUAUCAUGGUUGUGGAAAGGGAAGCUCCAUCCGACCAUGGUGAUCUUGCCGAGAAUCGUGGUGUAAUGGUGGAUCGAGGAGGCGAUAACUGCGAUCAGCUUACCCUGUCAUAUCAGGGUCAAGUUUAUGUUUUCGAUUCUGUCUCGCCCGAAAAGGUUCAAGCCGUGUUAUUAUUAUUGGGAGGUCGCGAAGUACCUUUGCGUGUUCCCUCAAUCCCAAUAACUAAUCAACCAAAUGAUAGGCAUCUCACUGAUGAAGCAUUUAACCAGGCACUUGCCAUCCCCCCACGUCUAAGUGUCCCUCAGAGAUUAGCUUCUUUGAUUAGAUUUCGUGAAAAGCGAAAGGAACGUAAUUUUGACAAGAAAAUUCGGUAUACAGUUCGUAAAGAGGUAGCACUUAGGAUGCAGCGUAAUAAAGGUCAGUUCACAUCUUCCAAACCCAUUCAGGAAGAUUCAUUAUCGGCCACAACAAGUUGGGAAUCAAAUGAGACUUGGUGUUCUGAUGGAAAUGGAUCCCAUCAACAAGAAAUUCUCUGUCGACAUUGUGGUAUUAGUGAGAAGUCUACACCAAUGAUGCGACGUGGACCUGAUGGGCCAAGAACCCUUUGCAAUGCCUGUGGACUCAUGUGGGCAAACAAGGUAUAUUUCUUCUGUAUUGGUCAGAGUUCAGUAUGACUCUGAAAAUGAUAUGCUGCAUUUAGCUGCUCUGAUUUCCGUUCUAGAAAUUCUUUUCCUGAAGACUGUUAGGUAGUGAACAGCCCGUUCUUAUAUUUUAGUUUCCGUUUCUUCUAAAUUGCGUUGCUGACUGCAAGGGAACUCUGCGGGACCUCUCAAAAGCACCAAACCAGGGUGGACAAGCUUCAAGCUUCAACAGGAAUGAGAAUGUUGUGCAGAAUGGAGAUUCUGAGUCCAAUCCAAAAAGUGCAUAGGAAUUGUGACAGGUGUUUAUGAUUGCUGUUUCGAAAUUUAGCAAAAUCAUACAAGCUUAAUUUCUCCCACAGAUUAGUUUGAAACGGAUUAAAAACUUCUCAUCGAUGGCUAUGAAUCAUGAAUCCCAUCCAUCGACAGAGACCCUUGUGGCCAAUUCAUCUUGGAAACGACGGUAUCGUGGACGUGUACUAAUUUAAUAGCUCUUCUUAUCAUAUUGUGAACCAUUUCAACAUGUCAAAAUUCCUAGAAUCUUGUAAAUUAGCAUUUGCUGCGCUUGUACAAUGGCAUGGUCAUUUUAAUCCAUUUCAUUUUUGUCCAGUA
RNA transcript from Cucurbita moschata (crookneck pumpkin), 1680 nucleotides. It is a transcript of the gene named GATA transcription factor 24-like, with no coding region annotated. The record is from RefSeq and is a predicted model, not a curated record. Lineage: Eukaryota; Viridiplantae; Streptophyta; Magnoliopsida; Cucurbitales; Cucurbitaceae. The transcript has 8 exons.